UAGUUAUAUUCUUGAAAUUAAAGAAUUUGGCGGUAUUUUAAUCUAAUUAGAGGAACCUGUUUUAUAAACGAUAAACCACGAAAAAUCUAACCUGUUUUAAAUAGUUUGUAUACCGUCAUUAUUAGAAAAUUUUUAAAGAGUAAAUUUUUAGAAUUAAAAAAAAAUUAAAUAUAUUAGAUCAAGGUGCAAUAAAUAAGCAGGGAAAAAUGGGUUACAAUAAAGUAUUUUAUUACGAAACUAAGAUUUUUAAAUAAACUAGGGAAGGAGGAUUUAAUUGUAUGUUAAUUUUAAUAAGUUUAACAAAAA
This 306-nucleotide ribosomal RNA is filed under the name Areopaguristes hewatti. RNAcentral describes it as "partial small subunit ribosomal RNA". The record is from RNAcentral. Lineage: Eukaryota; Metazoa; Arthropoda; Malacostraca; Decapoda; Diogenidae.